UUUACUUAUUACAAUUUGAUACAUUCGCUUUCUUUUCAUUUCCUUUACCCCUAAGCUUUGUAGACGGGUACUGCUAGCUCUGGUCUCCGGGGUAGGGCGCUAUCUAUGGAGCUACGCCCUUUCCUCGCGCCGCCGCGCCGCUCACGUACGAACCUGUAACACCCCAAAACAACGUGGGGUGAGAACCAACUCCAUGGUUCCCAGUGGGUACGGCCACCCAAGGGAAAAGCUCGACCGACAGGUUCAAAGGAGGCAACUGCAGGUUAGUAUAAUAAACAGAUAGAUAGAUAUUUUGACUAUGCAAUUAAUAGAACCAUACCUUGCCUCGCAAUUGUAACAAUGCUAUGCAAUAUGCAAUACCUGUAAAUCAUGCAAGUAGAUUACUUGAUCUACUUUAUAUCAUUAACCAUACUUUACUUGUAGCCGUUCUUUUCUUUACUAGCUAUUCACGUUCGUUAGCUAUUCUUUAUUCUUUACUCUUUGUCUUAUUGUGCUCACUGGCGAUUCUUUCCUAAGGUUAUUUUACCUUAGCCAUCUAUGCCACUCGACUCGGUCUCGAGUCAAUCAACUGCGGAUAGUCCGCACUCUGUCCGGCUCAAGGUGAAGGACCUCUCACUUACACCUCAGCCUUCAGUCUACAAACAUCUCGCCAACAGGUCGCCCAGAGCUGCGUACACCCGUGGUCAGGGAUCUUUCCGGUGGGAAGGGGAUUAUACCACAAACUCAACCCGCGGCCCAAGACCCCCGAUAGGGAAGGGGACAUGCCACCUCAACCCUAGCAAAGCACGAUUCUGCCGACGGGAGGGGGAACAUGCCACACUCGACCUGCGGCCUCGAAUCAGCCUCAAGCUCAUCCUGGGAGUUCGUCCAGUGGGAGGGGACCCUGUCACACUCAACCCACUGCUCUAGAACUGUCGAGUUCACAAUCCUAAGAUUCUGGAAUCUAUUUCCCAAGCCUCUAGGGUAAUCUCAAACCCUAUGAUAUCGACCUAUCUAGGUCCAAUGCACUUUCUGUCCUAGGUCUAGCUGACUCUAGGUUUAAUGCCUUUUUUCACAUAACCUAUGUUCUUUAAACUAGGUUAAGCCUCUCUACCUAGAUCUUAUUAACUCUAGGUUCAACAACACUAAGUUCAUUGUCAACCUAGGUUUACCAACACUAGGUUCGAUAUCGAUUUACCUAGACCUUGAAUCUAGGUUCAUUCUGUUCAACCUAUGUUCACGACACUAGGUUAAUGCCACUCGAUCUAGCCUAGGUUCACGACACUAGGUUUGACAUCAUUCAUAUUCAUCCUAGGUUCUUGACCCUAGGUUCAUAUUCGACCUAUGUUAAUUACACUAGGUUCGGCACCACUCGAUCUAGUUGGCCCUACUUGUCCACAUCGAGUUUCUAUAAUCAUAUAUACUCUAGCAUGCAUUCUAUGAUGCCGACAUGCAUCUACAUUUAACAUAGCCUACAUUAUCAUCGUGCAUGUUAUACAUGUAUAGCUUUUCUCAUCAUGUCAAUAAGCAUUAUCCUCUCGCAUGCAUUUUCAUAAGGUCAAUAUGCUCUUGUCAUCUAACUUGUAUUCACAUGAUGCACUUAUGCAUUUUAUCCAACCGCACUUACAUGCUCUAUUAUGAGUUGACAUGAACUAGCACUUGCAUAUAAUUCCAAUGCACAAAUAUAUCGCUUGUAUCUAGUUACUAGCAUGUACUUCCCAAUGCAUUAUUAUGCAAUUAUCACUAAACAUUACCCAACAUGAUCUCAUAACUCAUAAGGUUAACAAUAGGUUAACAUUCAUUUAUAUGCUCAUGUUCUCUAAUACAUGUCAACAUGAAUCUCAUAAUGCUAAAUGCCCCAAGCAUGUAUUUCACUAAGCAUACAUACUAAUAUGCAAAUUACCAACUAGCAUGCACUUAUACAAUGCAAAUAUGCCCGUAUGCACAUACAUAUAUGCAUCAACCAAAAAUCCAUAUUUCGCUUUGACAUGUGGGGCGACCAAGUCGCUUCGGUAAGCACAACCCACCUUAACACGCGUUCCGAUUGCUUGUCGACACUUGCAAUCGGCCGCCCGCGGCACCCGGCACCCGGUUUGGCCCGAUCUCACAAUUGCGGUCCAAGAGCGCGCCGCUUCGCUGUUUCAAGUGUAGAAGCUCUUCGCCACGCUAACACGAUGCCUCAAAUCCAUUUCCAUGAUUUUACGACGUCGCCUCGGCCCUCCCGGCGGACCCGAAGCCUAAACGUCCGUUUCUUUAAUAACUUCGCAACGGCUCGUCGGAUUGCCGAACCGUCUUCGCCAACGCGUUUCGUUACCUAGCAAUUAGGUUUACGGAUGGUCAAAUUAGAUCAAACCCUCAUAGUUUGAAAAUUAGCAUUUUGGACCCUAGGUUUUUCACCUAUUGCAAGAAAUCAUUAAAUUGAUCCAUGAUUUACGCAACAAUCAUCUAUUUAGCAUCAUAGGAUUCCACUAAAUCCAUUUAUAAGGUAUUUAAACCAACCAUUAAAGAUCUACCAUUAAAGGCUAGCAAAAGCUUACCUCUGAAGCUUGCCCUCAAGGUGGAGAAGAUGAUGAUGAAGACGAUGAAUCCUCGCUUGGCUUCAAUCUCCACCAAAAUCCUCUUCUUUGGGAGAGAUUUAGAGAGAGAAAGAGAGGCUUCUCUUUUCUCCUUCCAUGCGUGUGUGGGUGUGUCGUGGGUGCGGUUUGGGGCUGCUACGGCUGAGCAAGGAGAAGAAGAAAAGGGAUUUAAUCCCUUUUACGAUUUUGCCCCUCAAUUGUACACUAUUCAUUACGGGCAGCUUAAAAUCUGAUAAAUUUCGUUAGAGCCCUUCUGAAUGUCCGAUUGAGCUCAAAUUUGACAGGCAUGUUCGGUUUUACUUAAUAAGUCCAAAAAAAUUUUAAUAUUUUAGUUUCGACCCCAUUUGGUCACUGAAAACUGUACCGAACUGUAAUCUUUAUCAGAUAGCUUUAGGAUUUUAUUUCUCACUCUACGGGUGUCAGAAAAAUAUGAAACUUUAAGUCUAGCCUCAUUAAAAUAUUUCUGACAUCCCCGCCAAUUUUCAUAAUUUUCUGAGACUGUACAUUUUUUGCUAAUUUAUCUGUCCCAUUUCCAACAGAAAAUUCUAAAUCUCUUGUUUUCGCUCCGAUUUCAGCACAUGUCAUUCCCAACCUAUAUUUCACUUCUCUAAAUCCAAUAAAAACAGUAUCUCAUACUAUUUUUAUUUAUUUUUAUUUUUAUAUUUAAAAUCCGGUAUGUUACAUUCCACCGCAACCUCACCAGAACUAUUUAAACGUACACCGUAACUUCAUAAUUUUAUAAGUUCGGUAUGUUACAUUCUCCCCUCCUUAAAAAGAGUUUCGUCCUCGAAACUAACUCACUUCAACCCAAUCGAUACUCAAACUCGGUUUAUCGAGCAAUCGGGGAUUUCAAUGCACUUUCCUACCUCGGAGUGGCCUUUUACUUAUUGGAACUGUCCAAAAGUGCAUUACCACCAUGCAAGGAAUUGCUCUUUGCAUUAUACACCCAAUCGGAAAAUUUCACUCCGAUUCGAUCACCAGCAUUGCUUAGAAGCAAUUUCGUUGAUGCAUCGACCAAUCGCGAGUGCUUCAAUCCUCGACUAGAUCCUUGCUCCAUCACGAGAUAGCCCACUCUAGCACAUCUCGAAUCUCAAUCCAUAAAAGAGCAAUUUCCUCAAGCUCCAAUCCUCACGUGGCUAUUCAUUACUCAAGUGUCUCCUAGAGACCACUUUACUUUCUCUUUAUCCUUUGAUACUACAAGCCACGACUAACAUCCAUCCGCUCUUGCAACAAAUUCAUACAAACUCCUGUUCGUGAAUUCAAGCUUAAACUCGUUGAUAAGGCUACCCGCCUACCGUUUACCUUGAUCUCAUUGGUAAACCACACAGGUCACCAGUCCUACGUAGGCCUACAGCCCAACCUGUCGCAACUACGCAUAGCGUCUCUCGUUCGCUUCGUAGACCCAAUCAUCAUCGGGCGACAUUCUCAUUGGAGAAUUCGCACACACUCCAACCAGGAGCAACCAAAACCCCAAACCACGUCAAGUCCUCGGGUUAGGUCGCUACACACUCUAAGUGUCCUCGAUCUCACGAUCUAACACGUGGCAUUCCACGCUCCCGGGUCUAAGCUCGGACUACCGUCCUGACCAAAACUCUCUGCCCUACCCAUAGGUACCGGGCCGCUGCCUCUCGCAGCUGACUGCGCCUGCGCAAUGGGCCCAGGCUCCACAGUCCA
This 4229-nucleotide long non-coding RNA is filed under the name Ananas comosus (pineapple). RNAcentral's name for it is "long non-coding RNA (ACOM_LNC039507)". The record is from RNAcentral. Lineage: Eukaryota; Viridiplantae; Streptophyta; Magnoliopsida; Poales; Bromeliaceae.